GGAGUUGUGGCUCAGCGGUAGAGCGCUCACCUAACGAGUGUGAGGCCCUGGGUUCAAUCCUCAGCACCA
RNAcentral lists this transfer RNA (69 nucleotides) under Ictidomys tridecemlineatus (thirteen-lined ground squirrel). Its description in RNAcentral is "Spermophilus tridecemlineatus (thirteen-lined ground squirrel) tRNA". It matches the Rfam family "tRNA". From Rfam's summary of the family: Transfer RNA (tRNA) molecules are approximately 80 nucleotides in length. Lineage: Eukaryota; Metazoa; Chordata; Mammalia; Rodentia; Sciuridae. The record is from Rfam by way of RNAcentral.